This 1178-nucleotide long non-coding RNA is filed under the name Rattus norvegicus (Norway rat). RNAcentral describes it as "long non-coding RNA NONRATT012560". The record is from RNAcentral. Lineage: Eukaryota; Metazoa; Chordata; Mammalia; Rodentia; Muridae.
CUGCUGUUUGGUGGUGUCCCUGGCUACCUUUCCUUAAGACAAUGUCAAAUUUCUGUGUGAAGCAGAAACACAAACUUCUCUAGUGACCUCAUUACAUGUUCAAGCCCAACAAUCAGAUCAUUGGACUGAUGAACACAGCCCAUGGAAGUUCUGUGUUUAUUCAUUAAAGCCAUGCAGCUCAACACAGAGAGGAAGGCUACCAGAUUCCUAUUCUGAAAUCACUGCCCUGUGUGGCCUGUCUAGAAGCACAAGUCGUAAAGAGUUCUAUAAAGCAAGUUUCUAUACCAAGAAUGAUGAAGAGUGUAUCUAGCGUAGGACGUUCUGGAAUACUUUAGGUGUCCUGUGUUCAUACCUCAGAUAUCUUUGCUGAUUGUUUCUCUUCAUCUGGUGAUUGUUGUCUUCAUUCUUUAUUUGGGGGUAGUGCUUGGGAAAUUUGGGGUAGGUAGUGGAGGUGAUGGAAUGUCAUGAAAAAAAUGUUCACACCUGUUAGACCACAGCUGAACAUCUUUCUUUAAAAACUAAAUAAAUAAAAGGAAAUAAACAUAUUUUAAGAAAUCAGGUGGCAUGUAGCCUUACCUGUUCUAUUUCUUGAUGCUUACAAGGAGAUAUAAGCCAGGCCAAGAGAAGGCUGCUGGUACCUCCAGCAAAUGGCCUUGCUCUGUGCUCUCUGACCCCAGGACUCCAGUGAGCACACCACCAAAGAACACUUUGCUCCUGGCUUGCAGCAGCUUGUUUCUGGGGUACAGUGCCAGCCACUAUUAGAAAAAAAUGGGGUUUCAUUGUUUGUCUAUUUAAAGUUGAACCUGGUAUGGAGUGCUGCUCUUCACCUCCACCUCCCAGUUAGAGUGGCCUAAAAGUAAAGAGAUAAACUUGACACAAUAACCAUGGUUUUACCGAGUAGUAUGGAAACUUGGCAUCUAUAAGGCUGGCAUUCCUGGUACUGUAUAAUCAUCAAGUGUACCUAAACUGUAGUAAUUUAAAGUGAGCAAACAUGUAAGCUCAGAUUUACAAAACUAUGGAGUCAAAAAAUGUCCCUAAAGAUUCAGAUUUUUAUUUAUUUUCCUUUGGCCUAUGAUGGAUUUAUAGAUAAAUGUAAUGGAAAGUUUUUUUUAUCUUAAUAAAGUAUCUUCACACAAUAUAUCUGCUUGAAAGUUGUUUAGCCCUUGAAUACACUAAAA